UGGGGAAUUUUGCACAAUGGGGGAGACCCUGAUGCAGCGACGCCGCGUGAUUUAGAAGGCCUUCGGGUUGUAAAAAUCUUUUCUAUGGGAAGAAAAUGACAGUACCAUAGGAAUAAGGACCGGCUAAUUACGUGCCAGCAGCCGCGGUAAUACGUAAGGUCCGAGCGUUGUCCGGAAUCAUUGGGCGUAAAGGGUACGUAGGCGGGUAAGCAAGUUAGAAGUGAAAUCCUAUAGCUCAACUAUAGUAAGCUUUUAAAACUGCUCAUCUUGAGGUAUGGAAGGGAAAGUGGAAUUCCUAGUGUAGCGGUGAAAUGCGCAGAUAUUAGGAGGAAUACCGGUGGCGAAGGCGACUUUCUGGCCAUAACCUGACGCUGAGGUACGAAAGCGUGGGUAGCAAACAGG
RNAcentral lists this ribosomal RNA (402 nucleotides) under bacterium. RNAcentral describes it as "partial 16S ribosomal RNA". It matches the Rfam family "Bacterial small subunit ribosomal RNA", at positions 355 to 776 of the family's 1533-position model. The record is from RNAcentral.